AGAGCUGAAGAAUGGAUGGGUGGAUGAAGAGGGUCAAGACCAUCAUAGCAGGUUUUUAGUAACUUAACAGAUUCCACUGUUUCCUGGAAUAUUCAGCUGAAUUCUCUAGAGCCUCAAGCAGUGCCAAAAGCCAG
Molecule: long non-coding RNA, 134 nt
Filed under: Sus scrofa (pig)
Lineage: Eukaryota; Metazoa; Chordata; Mammalia; Artiodactyla; Suidae
Description: lncRNA (ENSSSCG00070017270.1)
Source: RNAcentral